Brassica napus (rape) is the source of this 835-nucleotide long non-coding RNA. RefSeq lists it as uncharacterized. Lineage: Eukaryota; Viridiplantae; Streptophyta; Magnoliopsida; Brassicales; Brassicaceae. The record is from RefSeq and is a predicted model, not a curated record. The transcript has 2 exons.
CGAUAUUGCCUAUUUGGUUUUGGUGAUCUGUGUCAGCCGCAUAACUUAACUUCUUUUUUGUGUAUAUGAAGUCUUAAAAAUAAUUAAAAUGAGAUGUAAUACGUUAACUAUUCAACAACGAUGAUAUAUUUAGGAGACCAACUUUUGUAUUCGUUAUUAUAUAAUCGAUAAAAAUUGUAGUGUUACAAAAUGUUCAAACCAUUUAAUAAAUAAACAUUAUUAUAAAAACUUACCCGCGUAUGCGCGUGGAUUAUAUCUAGUGAUAGAUUAUUUGUUUUGUGAUGAAUGGAAAUCUCAUUACCAAAGAGUCGCAUCCAUUAAAAAUAAAAAUCUCAAACUACAUCACUCAAUUUUAUUACCAUAUAUAUAAAUACCCAAACAUCCUCACUGGAGCAAAAAUAUCUGAAGAAGAAGAAAAUUCUAACUUUCUAUUUUUGCUCUCUAUCAUUUCUUCAACAUACGAAUAAAAGCUCGACCGACUUGAAGAGGAAGCGUCCAAUAUAAGAGGACUAUGGACGAACAACAUAAGAAGGUUUUAAGAAGGGAAAAGGACAACUCGAGAGAAUUACAAGGUGAUCUCCAUAUGGUAAAGGAUCAAAUGAAAACAAAAAAAAAUUCAAGGCACUCAGCACAACUUGAAGUAAACUCUAUUUCUGAACAAAUAGAUUUACUAGAAGACUUGAAGGCUGAGAAGGAGAAACUCAAAACCAAGCUCCUCCUUGCGGAGGAUGAAUUAUUCAAUGUAAAAGUCCUACCUAUUGAUUGGGAUCAAAUUGGGAGAAAUAUAUAUCUCGCUAACCAUUGGCCUUCUAAAUGAAAACUUUAAAUAGUUUCA